Molecule: long non-coding RNA, 1174 nt
Organism: Ipomoea triloba (trilobed morning glory)
Lineage: Eukaryota; Viridiplantae; Streptophyta; Magnoliopsida; Solanales; Convolvulaceae
Exons: 2
Source: RefSeq, a predicted model, not a curated record
GCUUAGGAGACGAAGUGAUAGACAAAACUCUCUAAAGUUCCUUACAAUCUUCAAAGCAAUGAUAUAGAAAUGACAACUAUUGGCUGGAGAUGCUCGAUCCUAUUGGCUUCCGCUAUCAGGAUCCAUUUCUGUCCACCAACACCGUCGGAGCUCCAUGAGGCAUUACAAGAUGCACUAUUAGAGAUGAUUGGAGUGCCAUUGGGCGGUGGUGUGAGGUGUAAUUAAAGCUUUGUUGAUUUUUUCAGAAACACUUUUAGAAAAUAUUAUACAUUGUUUUUCAAAAUAUAAAGAAAAUAAUUUCGAAAUAAAAUUAUAAAACUAAAUCCUAUUGCCUUAUUGCUUGUUCGUUGUAGCCUCCUGGAGGUUGACGUCGACUCGCCGGUGCAUCGUGACUUGGAGUCACAGAUGGCGAAGGUGCUGGCGUUACAACCAGAAGGGGCGGUGGCGGCGUGGUUGAGCUGGUUUGUCGGCGGAGCUGAUGUCGGUGGCAAGCUGAGAGAAAGGCGAAGGUAAACGGCGGGUGGGGCGGUGGUGCCAUUGAUUCUGGUCGGCUUCUUUUCCUCUCUAAUUGGUUGCGUCUUUCUCCCCAUCUGUUGAUGGCGUCUCCUCAUCCGGCUAGGAGGAGAUGGAGGGUCACCGGUGUUUCCUCAUAGCGUAGCAACAGCACUGUGGGUCGCUGUGCGAUGGCGAUCGACCCUUUAUUGUCCAGGAAGGUUAGUUGUCAUUGAUAAUUACGCUACUACGAGGAGAGGAAUGAGGUCGCAGCGGUCUCUAUGCGAUGGUAAAGAAGGAGGAGAGUUAUUGUGAGGCUACUGGCCGACGACGCAGGAGAAAGGGCAUGGCUGCCAUGGGUUGUCGUUGUAUUCCUCGCAACUAGCCGUGUCGUGGUGCAUGGAAAUGGAUCAUCGCGGGUGCCAAGAAUCAUCGUGCAAUGGGCGCUGCAUAUUAAUUUUCAACAUUGUAGAUCGUGGAGAGAGUUGGUAGAUUGAGAUGUUAAUGAAGUUAGAGACGUGUGGGCCAAGUACUUCAUUGAUGAAUGGUUUAAUACAUUGCAUUAGUACUUGAAGUAAUAUAAUUCAUAUAGAUAAUUUUAGAUUUAAAUUGUAUUUAUUAAUUAGUAUCAAUUGUGAGAUUUAUAACUUUUAUUAAUUUUGAUAUUAUUUGAUAUUAUAAA